CCUACGGGAGGCAGCAGUGGGGAAUAUUGCACAAUGGGGGGAACCCUGAUGCAGCGACGCCGCGUGAGUGAAGAAGUGCUUCGUUAUGUAAAGCUCUAUCAGCAGGGAAGAAAAUGACGGUACCUGAGGAAGAAGCCCCGGCUAACUACGUGCCAGCAGCCGCGGUCAUACGUAGGGGGCAAGCGUUAUCCGGAUUUACUGGGGGUAAAGGGGGCGUAGACGGGGGUGCAAGUCUGGAGUGAAAGGCGGGGGCGCAACCCCGGGACUGCUCUUGAAACUGCACGGCUGGAGUGCAGGAGAGGUAAGCGGAAUUCCUAGUGUAGCGGUGAAAUGCGUAGAUAUCAGGAGGAACACCAGUGGCGAAGGCGGCUUACUGGACUGCAACUGACGUUGAGGCCCGAAAGCGUGGGGAGCAAACAGGAUUAGAUACCCUGGUAGUC
Molecule: ribosomal RNA, 440 nt
Filed under: uncultured bacterium
Lineage: Bacteria
Description: partial 16S ribosomal RNA
Rfam family: Bacterial small subunit ribosomal RNA
Source: RNAcentral